CACCGUGAAUUGAUCAAGUAUUUGCAUUAUUUUCGUUUUGGCUAACACUUUUAUAAUAAGAGGCAAUAUAUAAUAUGUAAUAAUAAGACGUUCAAAUGAUGGAUGGAAGGACAGAGGAUUGGUUUGGAAAAAGAAGGCGAAUCCCAACUCAAGCAAGCUGCCAGCUUUAAAGGCAUGAUGCUAGGGUGUGCACUCAUGGUGUGCACUCAUGCUGGACGGCCACGCUUUAAGCUAGCUCCGUAGAAAAAUUGUCCUAGUACCUCUCUCAAGCUGCCUAGCUAUCAAAAUGUCCGUUUUUAAAGCAGGAAAAAGGGCCUUAAGCAGUUUUCAAGUCCUGAGACUGCUGCAGAUAAAAAGAGAGCUCCUUUACCACCAAAUGUGUCUUCGAGAAUUGACCUCGCGGCCAUAUUCGAACAAAUCAAUUCACUCGGAGUUAGGAUGGAGAACGGCUUUUCUAGCGUUCACGCAGACAUAGACAAAGUUAGACAUGAGUUUCAAGAGACUCUGCAAAUAAUGAAGUCCAAGGUUUCCGACUUGGAAACCUCAUUAACGUCGGCUUGGGAGAAAAUAGAAAUCCUAAACAAGCACAGGAGGAACAAGAUAAGAAAUGCAUGGCGAUGGAAGAGCAACUGGAUGAAGAACGCGAGAAAAGAAUACGCCUUGAUGCUUAUUCGCUAAGGGAACACUUGAGUUUCAAAGGUAUACCAGAAAAAGAAGGAGAAAGCUGUGAGAACAUUAUAAGAGACUUGCUGCAUGAGCUCGGCUUCUCGAAUCCUCAAAAUAUAGGUUUUCAUGCUGUCCAUCGCCUAGGCAAACCAAGAGAUGGCGGAAAACCUAGCCCUAUCAUUGCUCGUGUUAUUUCAAGACAAGACAGGGAUCUUGAUUUUAGGAAGAAACGCAAGUUGGUCGGGUCUACUUGUUACCCUGGCGUUUACAUUACUGAUGAUUUUCAGCGGGAAAUUCAAAGAGAAAGGAUUAUUCUAAUUAAAGCAAUGGAGAAAGCAAAAACAAUGGGCAAGCAAGUGCUCGGGCGCUCACUACAUGUUGACGGCAACACAUACCAGGUUGCGUCGGUACCUGAGAUAUACAGGGAAGUGUAAGAAUCGUAGAAAAAAUAUUGCUCAUUCUUGUGUCAUUGCCGCAAGCCUCCCCCUUAUUAGGACUACGAACUUGAUUGACUCUUGUUUGCGCCCAGUUAUGAAUACAUGAUAAAGGAUAUAUGUCUAAUAACAACAAGUAAUUUUAUAGUUAUUGUUAAUAAUCUAGGCAGCUCCCUAUCAUACAAUGAUUUCAGUAAUUGUGAAUGUUUCUAAGUAUAUAAAUCAUAGGAAGUCUUGCUGAGAGGUAAUAUAAUGGAUAAUAUUUCUUUGAACUAGUCUGCAAUCUGAAUAACUAUUACCAUAACAGAUAAUUUACGGACUUCUCGCAUAUAACUUUACUCUAUAAACCAAUGUUUUGUUUGGUUUCUAGAAGUAUUUGUUUUUGGAUUGCUAGUUUUCUUAUUUCUGUAAUAAUUGUUUUAGUUGUUUGUGCACCGUUUGUGAGAAUCACAAUAGGGAUUGAGAUGCCUUAUUUCCACUAUUUUACUUUGUUUUCACCAUCAACUCAUUGUCAUAAAUUGCUUUCCCUCAAUGUACGCGGUCUUCGUUCUAAAGAAAAAAGGCAAAGAGUUUUCGAUUGGCUAAAUCGUCAAGAUGCUGACAUUAUAUUUUUACAAGAUUCCACAGCACCAAGGAUGUUGAAUUGGAAUGGAUGAAAAUGUUAUGGAAAGGCGAAUCUAUUUACGCGCACGGAACUUCACAGAGCAGAGGUACGGCGAUCUCGAUUCGAGAAAAUUUAGAUUUUAAAAUUUAUUUUCUAGAUAUUAUUUUUCAGGAGUCCCCUUUUCUUCUCAUUAAUGUAUACGCACCUAAUAAUGUAAAAGAACAGGUUUCGUUCUUCAAAACAAUAGCGCAAAUGAUUAGUUACUAUCAAGCUGCCUCCAUAUCGAAUCUAAUUUUAUGCGGCGAUUGGAACGUUACUCUAGGCCCGUCUCUCGACGGAUCAGGAGGCAACUUAUCAAAGAAUUCUCCAAAGUGUUAAAGCGAAUAAUGCAAGAAAAUGACUUGAUUGACAUCUGGAGAGUCAGAAACCCAGAUUCAAAACGCUAUACUUGGCGUCAGAAAAAACAGCUAGUUCAGAGACGCUUGGACUUUUGGCUUAUAAGCAAUUUUCUUCAAGAUGUAAUCGAAAGCGCAAAAAUAAAAACGGCAAUACAAACUGACCAUUCAGCAAUCCUUUUGAGCAUAGAUAAUCUAGAAUUUCAAACUCCUGGACCUUUCUGGAAAUACAAUACGAGCCUCUCCGACGAUGGAUAUUACGUUUCCAUGAUAAAAGCUAAAAUUGAAGAACUUAAGAAAGAUACACAAGUUAUACGGACCCGCGCAUUCGCUGGGAUUGGAUUAAAUAUUAUAUAAGAUCAGAAACAAUCAAAUAUAGUAAACAAAAAGCCAAGAAGCGCAGAGAUGAUCUGAGACGCAUUGAAAAAGAGCUCACGCGUCUUGAUGAGCUCUGCUCUAGUGUACCUUCUAUUGAUAAUAUGAACAACUUGGAAGCAAAAUAAAAUGGAAUACGAGGUAGCAAAUGAUUAUAUCAUGCAAGGCUCUAUAGUUAGGGCACGGGUACAAUGGUACGAGAAGGGAGAGAAAAACUCAAAAUAUUUUCUAAACUUAGAAAAAAUUGCAAAGAAAAGGACUGCGAUCAGAAAACUAAAGGUAUUGGAUGGUACGGAAAUCACCAACCCAAAGCGAGUAAUGGACGAGAUCAAACAAUUUUAUUACAAUCUUUACCGAAAACAACCAGUUGAUCGGGUCGACAACAUGCUUUGCCCCUUCCUCGAUACCCCACAGUUACGUAAACUUGAUGACGAUAUGUAAAAAUCAUGUGAGGGGGAUUUAACAAUUGCGGAAUUUUUUAACAUAUUGUCAACCUUUAAGAACAAUAAGACGCCAGGAAAUGAAAGGUUACCUAUCGAUUUUUACAAGACGUUCUGGUUGGCGCUCGGUGAAAUUUUAGUAGAAUGUUUAAAUUACUGCAGAAACGGAGAACUCUCGACUACUCAAAAACAAGCCAUAAUAAAAUUGAUAGAGAAGAAAGAAAAAGAUCGACGCUCUCUUAUAAACUGGCGUCCUAUCUCUUUGAUCAAUACAGAUGUUAAAAUAGGCUCUAAAUGUAUCGCCAAAAGAUUGGAAAAAGUGCUACCUUUUCUUAUCCAUGAAAGCCAGUCAGCCUUUGUUAAAGGGAGAUCGAUUUUUGAUGCUAUACGUACCAUUGAUGAUAUGUUUUUUACUGCGAAUCCGAAAGUAUAGAAAGCUUGCUUAUCACGAUUGAUUUUGAAAAAGCGUUUUGAUUCCAUUGACACUGAAUUUAUGUUUAAAACACUAGAAGCAAUGAACUUUGGACCAUCUUUCCUUGAUUGGGUAAAGACCUUUUAUAAAAACAUAACUAGCUGCGUCAUGAACAAUGGACUUGCUACACCAUACUUUGCGAUUAACAGGGGGGGUGCGCCAAGGGGACACCCUCUCUGCGUUCAUUUUUAUACUCGUGUUUGAGGCGUUGGCAACCUCAGUGAGAAAAUAUAUAAACAUCGAAGUAGAUUGCAAAGAGAUUAAGACAGUGAUUUUUGCUGACGAUCUAACAAUCUUUAUUCGCGACCAAUAUCAUAUCAGUUCUUGUUACAUAAAUUGGCAAUGUUUAGAGCUUUUUCAGGGCUUAGAGUCAAUGAUGACAAAACAGAGGUCCUUGGUCUGGGACCAAUAAAGAUAACUAAAGAAGAGUUGGGCGUAAAGAAAAUAAGCAAGUCGGUGAAAAUUUUAGGCGUUUAUUUUAGUUACGAUAUAACCCUGUUAAAACAACUGAAUUUUGACAAAGUACUUAAAUCAAUUGCCAAAAUUAUGAAUAUGUGGAGCUGGAGAGGUCUGACACUAUCAGGGCGAAUUCAAGUUAUUAAAUCUUUUAUUUUGCCUAAGAUCCUUUAUAAUCUAAUACCCCUUUCAAAAUCUCCAGACUAUAUCAAAAAGAUUAACACAUCUAUUUUCAACUUUUUAUGGAGCAACACGCCAGAAAAAAUCAAACGAUCAGCCAUAAUAAACGAUUUUGACGCGGGACGUCUUAAGAUGCCAAGUAUUGAAGACCUGCUAAAAACGCAAAGAGUAAUCACUAUUAAAAAGUUUCUUGACAACACACCAGUCUUAUGGAAAACGUUUUUGCAAUUUUAUUUAAAGGAAGUAGGUGGAAUUUUUUUAUUUUUGUGCAAUUUCGAUCCGUAUCUUUUAUCAGUUAAAGCCUCACCCUACUAUUUCGAAUGUCUUAUAGCUUGGCCGAGAUUGCUUCCGAGUCAUUUACCAUUUGACCUUCAUGCAAUUAUUUCAAAGAUAAUUUAGCACUGUACAUGGAAGUUAGGUGAAAUGAAAAUUUAGCUACCUUUUUUAACAAACUGCAUCUUUUGGUAAUGACGCACCAAGCCCUAUUUUAUGUUUUAACACAAAAAUACCAGGUGAACCUACGCUUGAAACCAUGGUUCUUCAAUAUGGGGGUCUAGUGGGUCCAUGGACCUCCUCAUCGAGGGUCAGUGUUUUGUACGAUCCACCCAAGACAAAGUGUCAAUUCAAAGAGUAUUAGCCAAAAAACAACAGUAAAGAAGGUUGAUAAAACUGUUUAUCCAAUA
This is a long non-coding RNA of Nematostella vectensis (starlet sea anemone), 4705 nucleotides long. RefSeq lists it as uncharacterized. The record is from RefSeq and is a predicted model, not a curated record. The transcript is spliced from 2 exons. Lineage: Eukaryota; Metazoa; Cnidaria; Anthozoa; Actiniaria; Edwardsiidae.